Long non-coding RNA from Brassica napus (rape), 1665 nucleotides. RefSeq lists it as uncharacterized. The transcript is spliced from 8 exons. The record is from RefSeq and is a predicted model, not a curated record. Lineage: Eukaryota; Viridiplantae; Streptophyta; Magnoliopsida; Brassicales; Brassicaceae.
AUUUACGAAAUGGGUUGAUUCACUGACUCUGAAGUGUGUUUUUGGACAAAGUGGCCCAGUAAAAUCAGAAUAAACAAUUACAACGAAAGCCACUUCUCUUCGUAGUCUUCCUCUUCGAUGUAGAUUAGGGUUUCAAUCUGUUCAGUCUCCUGUGAGAAAUCGAAAGCCGCUUCCGAGAUUAACUUAACAUCAAGAAUAACGACGAUCUCAUGAGCAUUAUCCUCCACCUACGAUACAAGAUGAGAGAAGAGCUUUUGACUGGAAACCAGAGAAACAAGAGCUUCCAAUUGCUCAGACUGUUUUUUAUGUGAUUUAUGGAAAACUUACGUAUUCAGAUGCUAGAACAAACUAUUCCCUUAAUGCUAUUAAAUUCUUAAAAAACACUUACUCUUUCGCUCAUUCAAAGAUUUCUAUUACAAACUUUUAUAGCAGGCAGCACCAUGAGAAACUGUUCUUUGAUAUGGAUCCAAACGUGAUCGGUUCAACGAGCUUAAAUCCAAAAAUAGUGGGAGGUAGGCAUGUUGACUCCCUGUUGUAUGAUAUUUCAUCUUCGGAGAACCCAACCUCAAGGACCCAUUUCUAUUUUGAUAGCGAGAGUAACAUAGGUUUCCAGGGGAGUGAAGAUGGGUCCGCCUCAACUGCUACAAAAUAUGGAGGGGUGAAGAAGAUUGUAUCAUUAACACUGUGAGAGCUGAAUUCUUAUGUAAUCAUUUCACCACCACAAGCUGCAGAGUUCUUGUGCACUGCGAAAGUUGACAGCAUUGAAAAAGCAAAUGGGUGGUGCUACUUCUCAUAAUCUAAAUGCUCCCGGAAACUUUAGCGUAGUUUCUCAUCGCUUACAUGCACAGCCUGUCAUGAUGCAAACAUUGUAGUUAUUGUUAGGUGCCAGGUUGAGAUGGUAACAGAUCACUCGAACUCUGUUCUGUUUGUGGUUUGGACGCUGAGAUGAACAAGCUUACCGAAGUCCCUGCCUCAUCACUGUCUCAGGACAUGGGCGCCGGAGUGGAAGACCCAGAGAGCAUAGCCUACCACAAUGCGUUGAAGAUAUCGUAGUGAGGAACUUAACAUUCCAGCUGAAGCUUUCGGAGUUUAAUUUCUCAGGAAAGCAGUUAUUCACCAAGUAGUCAUUCACCGUAUCCCGCAUUUUUUGUCGCAACCAACGUCCACCCCUCCCGCAGCACAAUGAGGUUAUGAUAACCCUGACGAUGAGAUGCCAUGAGCUGGAGCUGUGAAAAAAAAAGAUUCAUCCCAACGUUGAAAGCAGUUUAGCUGUCAACAGCAGUGACCCCAGUAAUUGUCAUGGUGGAAGGCCACCCAGGAGGAAAUACUGAACUAAACGAUAUCCAUGCUUUAUCUGACAUGUCUCCCGAAGAGUUUCAAGAGGCAGAUGGUGUGGAGUGUGCGCACUUCGAAGAAACCUCGCAAUGGGUUUGCUUCCCAUCCAAGGAAUGAAGUGUCCUCCACUGUUAAAUAGGGUUACAGCAGGUGAGGUUAGACAGAUGAAUAUAUUGAAACAACUUAUCUCAUAUUAUUUUUUGCUUUUUGCUUUUCAACACAAUUGUAAUUUGUAUUAACUAAUCAAGCCAUGGAUGUAUUUGACAUGUAAUGAGUUUAACCAUGUAGCUGAAUCGAUGAUUUCUAACCAUAAAGUUUUUGAGGGUCCAA